UAAAAUGCCAAAAAUGAAUGUGGAAAAAAAAGAAAAGAAGGCAGAAAAAAGAAAAAAGCUAAAGCAACGUGUGGCCCAGAAGGGAGAGCUGGAAUCGGAAACGGAACCAAAGAAAAAGAAACAAAACCUGCAGGUAGCAAAAGAAAGGAUG
Pygoscelis adeliae (Adelie penguin) is the source of this 151-nucleotide long non-coding RNA. RefSeq lists it as uncharacterized. The record is from RefSeq and is a predicted model, not a curated record. The transcript is spliced from 3 exons. NCBI's taxonomy places the organism in Eukaryota, Metazoa, Chordata, Aves, Sphenisciformes, Spheniscidae.